UUGAGAAAGCAGACUGAUGAUAUCGUAUUCUAGUCUAAAAUGACCUCCAUCAAAGAAGCCUUUGAAAAAAUCAAGUGGGCCAUACCUCAGUUAUUUGAAAGUUAAAAUAUUGCUGUAUACUGCAGCAGCCCAGAUGGCAUUUAGUGAUAGCAAUGAUUUCAUCUUGGUUUAUUGUGACACCAAUUUCAGCAAAUCAAAAGUUGGAUGCUCUCUACCAUCAAGAGACAUUAUUUGGAAGACUGAGGACAAGACAGUCCACAUUUUCAAAACACUCCUGGUAACAGUUGUUUGAGUGUGCGUGAAAUGCAAAGGCUCAUCGGGCAAGCACUUGUUCAGGGGCUGCCAUUGUCUCCUCCAGGUGGCUCGCCAGUCACCACAGAAAACAAGUGUGUGCGUCUCCGACAUAAUCAUCCAGGUUGAAGCUCAGCACAUAAUGUCAAGGUAUUCAAUGUGGAUGUGUCCAUUAUGCUUCAUGCUGUAGACAGAGAAAUGGGAGGGCAGGAGGCAUAAAUGAUGUCGUUGCCAACACCCACAACUCAUUCACAUCACCUUUUAACACCAACAACCAAUAUACAGCACAAAGUCACGUGAUGGCCCCAGUGAGAUAUGCGUCAGCAGCCCUACUGGUCAAUUGCGUCCUAGCCCUUGCUGAGUACACAUCAAUAUUAUCUUUACUGUAGAGUGAUAGCUCAUAGUGGUUAUAAGAAUUAGUGAUACAUCGGAUUUAUAAAAUGUUAUUUGUGAAUUUAAAUAGUUUUGGUUAUAAUCAUUGUAGUUUUUAAUUAGACACUUGGAAAUAAACAGUUAUUGUGUAUCACACUAAUCAUGGAUGGUGGUAUGUUGCAAAAAAAUAUCACAAGAACUUUGUCCAACUGUAACAGACAUACCCUGUAAUCAGGAAGACAGUUCGGACGUGCCUAAACGGGAUAAUUCUCGGGCACCACAGAAUGAUUUGUUGACCAUUCAGAAAGGCCAACAGGAACAAAUUGCAUUAAUGCAAGAGAUGAUGCAAAAUUUUGCGCAUUUGAAGUCAGACGUUGAUCGACUUCGCAAACAAAUGCAAGAACCAUGCAAUGAGAGUGAAGACGAGUCUUCCUCAAUGCCAACGUCUGAUGUCGCUGACCAGGCCAGCUGCAGCCAGCCAGUUACGGCGGCUGGUAUAUAUUGCCGCGGCUUUGUCAUUGAGUGAAGCUAAAGGCUCACCAGUUUCGGGACCUCUUGCCAGUUUGACGGACAAAAUCAUUGACAAGACAAUGGAAGACAAAAAACGGAAUGAUUUUGCAGAUAAGUACCCCGUGCCAGAAAACGUCACAAAGUUAAAUCCUCCUAAAGUAAAUCCUGAAAUAUGGAGAAUAAAUCAAGCGAAAACGCGUUCAAAAGACGUGAAGCUUCAAAAGAUUCAGCAGUUCACACUAUGAGCUAUGGUGCCGAUCAUGCAGGUGAUUGAUAGCUUGGUUGCAGGACGGGAUUGCCAGGAGAGUUUGAAUUUCGAUGAACUUGUCACAAAAUUAGUGGAUGCCGUAGCACUGACUGCCGUGGGAAAUGCAGAUGCUAAUGCCUGCAGGCGUGAGUCAAUCAAGCGCGACUUGAACGAGGAAUAUCAGGCCAUAUGUUCCAAUACUAAUCCAGUCACACAGAUGUUAUUCGGAGACAAUAUAACUGAUCAGUUGAAAUCAAUAACUGAAUCAAACAAAAUUGGAUUCAAAGUACGUGCAUGAAAAUUCAGGCAGACACCUGACGCGAAAGACCGUACCUUCCGGAAAUCAGGCUCUUUUUUUAGGACAACGACCGUAUCCACAGCGUUAUCCUCAAACACAGAGGGGGAGGGGAUAUCCUCGAGGAGGACCGCACAGGGGACAGUCCAGUGCGACUCCCAAACAACAUGCCAAACAUUAACCUCAACCUGCAAUGUAGCUGAGGUGAGUUACUCUAACAUUAACUGCAUUAAAUUAGCAGGCAGACUAAAGCAUUUCGGUACCCAAAGGGAACAACUGACCACUGACAAGAGUAUUUUAGAGACUGUUUAUGCCUGUACCA
Mya arenaria is the source of this 2037-nucleotide long non-coding RNA. RefSeq lists it as uncharacterized. The record is from RefSeq and is a predicted model, not a curated record. The transcript has 4 exons. NCBI's taxonomy places the organism in Eukaryota, Metazoa, Mollusca, Bivalvia, Myida, Myidae.